UGAUUGCAAGGUGUGGAGAUAUAUAUAUAUAUAUAUAUAUAUAUAUAUAUAUAUAUCCAACCACACCUUGCAAUAU
Podarcis lilfordi (Lilford's wall lizard) is the source of this 76-nucleotide non-coding RNA. NCBI's taxonomy places the organism in Eukaryota, Metazoa, Chordata, Lepidosauria, Squamata, Lacertidae. The record is from the annotation of a GenBank genome assembly.